AUACGGAGGGUGCGAGCGUUAAUCGGAAUUACUGGGCGUAAAGGGUCCGUAGGCGGUCUGCUUAGUCUGAUGUGAAAGCCCCGGGCUUAACCUGGGAAUGGCAUUGGAUACUGGCGGACUAGAGUCUGGUAGAGGGUGGUGGAAUUCCCGGUGUAGCGGUGAAAUGCGUAGAUAGCGUGAGGAACACCAGUGGCGAAGGCGGCCACCUGGACCAAGACUGACGCUGAGGGACGAAAGCGUGGGUAGCAAACAGGAUUAGAAACCCCAGUAGUCC
This 274-nucleotide ribosomal RNA is filed under the name uncultured bacterium. Its description in RNAcentral is "partial 16S ribosomal RNA". It matches the Rfam family "Bacterial small subunit ribosomal RNA", at positions 523 to 796 of the family's 1533-position model. The record is from RNAcentral.